AGACAUCUGGUGCAUGGGAAGUUGCCCUAGGGUUUCUACCCAGUGAGUUGCCAGAGGGGUGUACCCCGGUAUAUUGGAGAAUGUGUCUUGUUUCUCCCUUAGUAAUUGUUGUACCUCAGUAUGCUACAGUGGGCUCAACCAGUCUCCCAGCGUAACCCCGAGAUCCCCGGACAGCCGACCGUCCCCCAGCAGGUCUGGGAGGGGAAGGCUGUCGAAC
Non-coding RNA from Pelobates cultripes (western spadefoot toad), 217 nucleotides. Lineage: Eukaryota; Metazoa; Chordata; Amphibia; Anura; Pelobatidae. The record is from the annotation of a GenBank genome assembly.